GGGUUGUGAGGUUAAGCGACUAAGCGUACACGGUGGAUGCCCUGGCAGUCAGAGGCGAUGAAGGACGUGCUAAUCUGCGAUAAGCGUCGGUAAGGUGAUAUGAACCGUUAUAACCGGCGAUUUCCGAAUGGGGAAACCCAGUGUGUUUCGACACACUAUCAUUAACUGAAUCCAUAGGUUAAUGAGGCGAACCGGGGGAACUGAAACAUCUAAGUACCCCGAGGAAAAGAAAUCAACCGAGAUUCCCCCAGUAGCGGCGAGCGAACGGGGAGGAGCCCAGAGCCUGAAUCAGUGUGUGUGUUAGUGGAAGCGUCUGGAAAGGCGCGCGAUACAGGGUGACAGCCCCGUACACAAAAAUGCACAUGCUGUGAGCUCGAUGAGUAGGGCGGGACACGUGGUAUCCUGUCUGAAUAUGGGGGGACCAUCCUCCAAGGCUAAAUACUCCUGACUGACCGAUAGUGAACCAGUACCGUGAGGGAAAGGCGAAAAGAACCCCGGCGAGGGGAGUGAAAAAGAACCUGAAACCGUGUACGUACAAGCAGUGGGAGCACGCUUAGGCGUGUGACUGCGUACCUUUUGUAUAAUGGGUCAGCGACUUAUAUUCUGUAGCAAGGUUAACCGAAUAGGGGAGCCGAAGGGAAACCGAGUCUUAACUGGGCGUUAAGUUGCAGGGUAUAGACCCGAAACCCGGUGAUCUAGCCAUGGGCAGGUUGAAGGUUGGGUAACACUAACUGGAGGACCGAACCGACUAAUGUUGAAAAAUUAGCGGAUGACUUGUGGCUGGGGGUGAAAGGCCAAUCAAACCGGGAGAUAGCUGGUUCUCCCCGAAAGCUAUUUAGGUAGCGCCUCGUGAAUUCAUCUCCGGGGGUAGAGCACUGUUUCGGCAAGGGGGUCAUCCCGACUUACCAACCCGAUGCAAACUGCGAAUACCGGAGAAUGUUAUCACGGGAGACACACGGCGGGUGCUAACGUCCGUCGUGAAGAGGGAAACAACCCAGACCGCCAGCUAAGGUCCCAAAGUCAUGGUUAAGUGGGAAACGAUGUGGGAAGGCCCAGACAGCCAGGAUGUUGGCUUAGAAGCAGCCAUCAUUUAAAGAAAGCGUAAUAGCUCACUGGUCGAGUCGGCCUGCGCGGAAGAUGUAACGGGGCUAAACCAUGCACCGAAGCUGCGGCAGCGACGCUGAUGCGUUGUUGGGUAGGGGAGCGUUCUGUAAGCCUGCGAAGGUGUGCUGUGAGGCAUGCUGGAGGUAUCAGAAGUGCGAAUGCUGACAUAAGUAACGAUAAAGCGGGUGAAAAGCCCGCUCGCCGGAAGACCAAGGGUUCCUGUCCAACGUUAAUCGGGGCAGGGUGAGUCGACCCCUAAGGCGAGGCCGAAAGGCGUAGUCGAUGGGAAACAGGUUAAUAUUCCUGUACUUGGUGUUACUGCGAAGGGGGGACGGAGAAGGCUAUGUUGGCCGGGCGACGGUUGUCCCGGUUUAAGCGUGUAGGCUGGUUUUCCAGGCAAAUCCGGAAAAUCAAGGCUGAGGCGUGAUGACGAGGCACUACGGUGCUGAAGCAACAAAUGCCCUGCUUCCAGGAAAAGCCUCUAAGCAUCAGGUAACAUCAAAUCGUACCCCAAACCGACACAGGUGGUCAGGUAGAGAAUACCAAGGCGCUUGAGAGAACUCGGGUGAAGGAACUAGGCAAAAUGGUGCCGUAACUUCGGGAGAAGGCACGCUGAUAUGUAGGUGAAGCGACUUGCUCGUGGAGCUGAAAUCAGUCGAAGAUACCAGCUGGCUGCAACUGUUUAUUAAAAACACAGCACUGUGCAAACACGAAAGUGGACGUAUACGGUGUGACGCCUGCCCGGUGCCGGAAGGUUAAUUGAUGGGGUUAGCGCAAGCGAAGCUCUUGAUCGAAGCCCCGGUAAACGGCGGCCGUAACUAUAACGGUCCUAAGGUAGCGAAAUUCCUUGUCGGGUAAGUUCCGACCUGCACGAAUGGCGUAAUGAUGGCCAGGCUGUCUCCACCCGAGACUCAGUGAAAUUGAACUCGCUGUGAAGAUGCAGUGUACCCGCGGCAAGACGGAAAGACCCCGUGAACCUUUACUAUAGCUUGACACUGAACAUUGAGCCUUGAUGUGUAGGAUAGGUGGGAGGCUUUGAAGUGUGGACGCCAGUCUGCAUGGAGCCGACCUUGAAAUACCACCCUUUAAUGUUUGAUGUUCUAACGUGGACCCGUAAUCCGGGUUGCGGACAGUGUCUGGUGGGUAGUUUGACUGGGGCGGUCUCCUCCUAAAGAGUAACGGAGGAGCACGAAGGUUGGCUAAUCCUGGUCGGACAUCAGGAGGUUAGUGCAAUGGCAUAAGCCAGCUUGACUGCGAGCGUGACGGCGCGAGCAGGUGCGAAAGCAGGUCAUAGUGAUCCGGUGGUUCUGAAUGGAAGGGCCAUCGCUCAACGGAUAAAAGGUACUCCGGGGAUAACAGGCUGAUACCGCCCAAGAGUUCAUAUCGACGGCGGUGUUUGGCACCUCGAUGUCGGCUCAUCACAUCCUGGGGCUGAAGUAGGUCCCAAGGGUAUGGCUGUUCGCCAUUUAAAGUGGUACGCGAGCUGGGUUUAGAACGUCGUGAGACAGUUCGGUCCCUAUCUGCCGUGGGCGCUGGAGAACUGAGGGGGGCUGCUCCUAGUACGAGAGGACCGGAGUGGACGCAUCACUGGUGUUCGGGUUGUCAUGCCAAUGGCACUGCCCGGUAGCUAAAUGCGGAAGAGAUAAGUGCUGAAAGCAUCUAAGCACGAAACUUGCCCCGAGAUGAGUUCUCCCUGACUCCUUGAGAGUCCUGAAGGAACGUUGAAGACGACGACGUUGAUAGGCCGGGUGUGUAAGCGCAGCGAUGCGUUGAGCUAACCGGUACUAAUGAACCGUGAGGCUUAACCUUACAACGCCGAAGGUGUUU
RNAcentral lists this ribosomal RNA (2931 nucleotides) under Escherichia coli. Its description in RNAcentral is "23S ribosomal RNA". It matches the Rfam family "Bacterial large subunit ribosomal RNA". The record is from RNAcentral. Lineage: Bacteria; Pseudomonadati; Pseudomonadota; Gammaproteobacteria; Enterobacterales; Enterobacteriaceae.